RNAcentral lists this ribosomal RNA (253 nucleotides) under uncultured bacterium. RNAcentral's name for it is "partial 16S ribosomal RNA". It matches the Rfam family "Bacterial small subunit ribosomal RNA", at positions 524 to 776 of the family's 1533-position model. The record is from RNAcentral.
GACAGAGGGUGCAAACGUUGUUCGGAAUUACUGGGCGUAAAGGGCGCGUAGGCGGCUUAUCAAGUCAGGCGUGAAAUUCCCGGGCUCAACCUGGGGGCUGCGCUUGAUACUGAUGAGCUUGAAUGCGGGAGAGGAUAGUGGAAUUCCCAGUGUAGAGGUGAAAUUCGUAGAUAUUGGGAAGAACACCGGUGGCGAAGGCGGCUAUCUGGCCCGUAAUUGACGCUGAGGCGCGAAAGCGUGGGGAGCAAACAGG